Non-coding RNA from Salmo salar (Atlantic salmon), 54 nucleotides. NCBI's taxonomy places the organism in Eukaryota, Metazoa, Chordata, Actinopteri, Salmoniformes, Salmonidae. The record is from Rfam.
UAUUUAACAAUUUAUAAGUCGCUCUGGAUAAGAGCGUCUGCUAAAUGACUUAAA